GACGAACGCUGGCGGCGUGCUUAACACAUGCAAGUCGAACGGAAAGGCCCUGCUUUUGUGGGGUGCUCGAGUGGCGAACGGGUGAGUAACACGUGAGUAACCUGCCCUUGACUUUGGGAUAACUUCAGGAAACUGGGGCUAAUACCGGAUAGGAGCUCCUGCUGCAUGGUGGGGGUUGGAAAGUUUCGGCGGUUGGGGAUGGACUCGCGGCUUAUCAGCUUGUUGGUGGGGUAGUGGCUUACCAAGGCUUUGACGGGUAGCCGGCCUGAGAGGGUGACCGGCCACAAUGGGAAUGAGGUACGGCCCAGACUCCUACGGGAGGCAGCAGUGGGGAAUAUUGCACAAUGGGCGGAAGCCUGAUGCAGCAACGCCGCGUGCGGGAUGACGGCCUUCGGGUUGUAAACCGCUUUCGCCUGUGACGAAGCGUGAGUGACGGUAAUGGGUAAAGAAGCACCGGCUAACUACGUG
RNAcentral lists this ribosomal RNA (468 nucleotides) under uncultured bacterium. RNAcentral's name for it is "partial 16S ribosomal RNA". It matches the Rfam family "Bacterial small subunit ribosomal RNA", at positions 28 to 507 of the family's 1533-position model. The record is from RNAcentral.